This 466-nucleotide ribosomal RNA is filed under the name uncultured bacterium. Its description in RNAcentral is "partial 16S ribosomal RNA". It matches the Rfam family "Bacterial small subunit ribosomal RNA", at positions 28 to 507 of the family's 1533-position model. The record is from RNAcentral.
GAUGAACGCUGGCGGCGUGCUUAACACAUGCAAGUCGAACGAUGAAGCCCAGCUUGCUGGGUGGUUUAGUGGCGAACGGGUGAGUAACACGUGAGUAACCUGCCCUUAACUCUGGGAUAAGCCUGGGAAACUGGGCCUAAUACCGGAUAGGAGCUUCCACCGCAUGGUGGGUGUUGGAAAGAUUUAUCGGUUUUGGAUGGACUCGCGGCCUAUCAGCUUUUUGGUGAGGUAAUGGCUGACCAAGGCGAUGACGGGUAGCCGGCCUGAGAGGGUGACCGGCCACACUGGGACUGAGACACGGCCCAGACUCCUACGGGAGGCAGCAGUGGGGAAUAUUGCACAAUGGGCGCAAGCCUGAUGCAGCGACGCCGCGUGCGGGAUGACGGCCUUCGGGUUGUAAACCUCUUUCAGUAGGGAACAAGCGAAAGUGACGGUACCUGCAGAAGAAGCACCGGCUAACUACGUG